Molecule: ribosomal RNA, 497 nt
Filed under: uncultured bacterium
Lineage: Bacteria
Description: partial 16S ribosomal RNA
Rfam family: Bacterial small subunit ribosomal RNA
Source: RNAcentral
GAUGAACGCUGGCGGCGUGCCUAAUACAUGCAAGUCGAGCGAACAGAUAAGGAGAUUGCUCCUUUGACGUUAGCGGCGGACGGGUGAGUAACACGUGGGUAACCUACCUAUAAGACUGGGAUAACUUCGGGAAACCGGAGCUAAUACCGGAUAACAUUUGGAACCGCAUGGUUCUAAAGUGAAAGAUGGUUUUGCUAUCACUGAUAGAUGGACCCGCGCCGUAUUAGCUAGUUGGUAAGGUAACGGCUUACCAAGGCAACGAUACGUAGCCGACCUGAGAGGGUGAUCGGCCACACUGGAACUGAGACACGGUCCAGACUCCUACGGGAGGCAGCAGUAGGGAAUCUGCGACAAUGGGCGAAAGCCUGACGGAACAACGCCGCGUGGGUGAUGAAGGGUUUCGGCUCGUAAAACUCUGUUAUUAGGGAAGAACAAACGUGUAAGUAAAUGUGCAGGUCUUGACGGUACCUAAUCAGAAAGCCACGGCUAACUACGUG